ACGUAGUAUUUAUCAAUUUUUACCAUCCUGUAGCUGGCAAGGAUGUGUUAAAAACUUGGCAAUGUAAUAAAAAUCUUCAGUCGUGUCUCCGGAGGAUCAGGCGGUGUUGUGUCGGACAACGUGACCUUCAGCUGUUGUUAAGAUCUCGCAUUGGUCAGAAGUUAAGAAUGGCAGUAAUGGUCUUGAAAGGCUGGUUGCUGUUGGCCGUGGUGGUGAUGGUGGCGGUACAGGUUGAUGUGGCGAAGGCUGCUGCGUUUCCCUGGAAGUUCCCAUCCUAUGGAGCCAAGGGACAGGGACCUCCAAUAAAUGUCGGCGUUCCACACGAGAAUUUAAACCCCGUCAUUCGGUGCUUCUCUUGCCUGAUUUGCGGAGAGUGUUACAUGAAGGGCCGUAAUGGAAGAUGCCGGAAAAUCGAAAAUUGCUCUACUUCAAAGUACGGUGCUGGAGCCUCAAGGCAUCUUGGAUAUUUGCUUCCGAACAAGAAGGUUAAUUAAACCUUCUUGCUUCCAAACAAGAAGGUUAAUUCAACCUUCUUGCUUCCAAACAAGAAGGUUAAUUCAACCUCCUUGCUUCCAAACAAGAAGGUUAAUUCAACUUCCUUGCAUCUGAACAAGAAGGUUAAUUCAACCGUCUUGCUUCUGAACAAGAAGGUUAAUUCAAACUCCUUGCAUCUGAACAAGAAGGUUAAUUCAACCUCCUUGCUUCCAAACAAGAAGGUUAAUUCAACCUCCUUGCUUCCAAAUAAGAAGGUUAAUUCAACCUCCUUGCUUCCAAACAAGAAGGUUAAUUCAACCUCCUUGCAUCUGAACAAGAAGGUUAAUUCAACCUCCUUGCUUCCAAACAAGAAGGUUAAUUCAACCUCCUUGCUUCCAAACAAGAAGGUUAAUUCAAUCCCCUUGCUUCUGAAAGACGAGGAUUACUAAAACAGGAACUGGACUUUCUUUUUUAAUUCAUAAAGAAACUGUGAUUUGGAA
Portunus trituberculatus (swimming crab) is the source of this 974-nucleotide long non-coding RNA. RefSeq lists it as uncharacterized. The transcript has 3 exons. The record is from RefSeq and is a predicted model, not a curated record. Lineage: Eukaryota; Metazoa; Arthropoda; Malacostraca; Decapoda; Portunidae.